UCUAAAGUAGUCUACUAUAUAGGGAAUAGGGUGCCAUAGGGUUCUGGUCUAUAGUAGUGCACUAUAUAGGGAAUAGGGCUCUGGUCUAUAGUAGUGCACUAUAUAGGGAAUAGGGUUCCAUAGGGCUCUGGUCUAAAGUAGUGCACUAUAUAGGGAAUAGGGUUCCAUAGGGCUCUGGUCUAAAGUAGUGCACUAUAUGGGGAAUAGGGUUCCACUUGGGACACAAGCAGAGAGCAGGUCUGUUUAUAUCUGGUGCCUCUGUCUCCAAAGCAACAUGAUGAAGAUGAAGACGAUGAAACAAAUAUAUAUAUAUAUUUUUUUAUUCCAACUGGUUUUAGAACACACACAAUGAAUUAUUCAAACAUAAAACACAUCAGAAUAGUUCCUUCCUGGCUGAAGUGUGAUCAUGAACACUAAAUUAGGGAGAAAGUACAGUUCCACCGCGGUCAGAUUAAAAAAUAAACAAUUAUACAGAGAAUGUAAAUGUGUAACAGUAUGUGUACAUCCCAAAUAGAGCCCUAUUCCCUAUAUAGUGCACUACUUUAGACCAGAGCCCUAUGGAACCCUAUUCCCUAUAUAGUGCACUACUUUAGACUUUGCCCACUACCCACACUGUGUUACAUCAGGAAGUGGGGGAGGGAGGCAGCCCAACAGUAGUUGGCACUACAUAGCCUGCGUCCCAAAUGGGACCCUAAUCCAUAUAUUGUGCUCUACUUUUUUAAAACAAAAGUAGUGCACUAUAUAGGGAAUAGGGUGCCAUUUGCUCCCAAGUGGCGGAGAAGUCUAAGGCGUUGCAUCUCAGUGCAAGAGACGUCACUACAGUCCCUGGUUCGAAUUCAGGGACUGUGAUUGAGAGUCCCAUUGGGCAGUGCACAAUUGGCCCAUGUCCGAGUUUGGCCCGUGGUAGGCUGUCAUUGUAAAUAAGAAUUUUUUCUUAACUGACUUGUCUAGUUAAAUAAAAGGUUAAAUAAAAAACGAAAUACAAAUUUGGGACGCAAUCAUGGAUUCCACCAGUUAAACUUCAACCUCAUCCCCAGACUAUUUGGCACAGGAGGAAGUGUCUGGGAACAGGAGGAAGUGUCUGGGAACAGGAGGAAGUGCCUGGGCAAAGGAGGAAGUGUCUGGGAACAGGAGGAAGUGUCUGGGAACAGGAGGAAGUGUCUGGGAACAGGAGGAAGUGUCUGAGCACAGGAGGAAGUGUCUGAGCACAGGAGGAAGUGUCUGAGCACAGGAGGAAGUGUCUGAGCGCAGGAGGAAGUGUCUGAGCACAGGAGGAAGUGUCUGAGCACAGGAGGAAGUGUCUGAGAACAGGAGGAAGUGUCUGGGCACAGGAGGAAUAGUCUGGGCACAGGAGGAAGUGUCUGAGCACAGGAGGAAGUGUCUGAGAACAGGAGGAAGUGUCUGGGCACAGGAGGAAUAGUCUGGGCACAGGAGGAAGAGUCUGGGCACAGGAGGAAGAGUCUGAGCACAGGAGGAAGAGUCUGAGCACAGGAGGAAGUGUCUGGGAACAGGAGGAAGUGUCUGGGAACAGGAGGAAGUGUCUGAGCACAGGAGGAAGUGUCUGAGCGCAGGAGGAAGUGUCUGAGCGCAGGAGGAAGUGUCUGAGCACAGGAGGAAGUGUCUGAGAACAGGAGGAAGUGUCUGGGCACAGGAGGAAUAGUCUGGGCACAGGAGGAAGUGUCUGAGCACAGGAGGAAGUGUCUGAGAACAGGAGGAAGUGUCUGGGCACAGGAGGAAGUGUCUGGGAACAGGAGGAAGUGUCUGGGAACAGGAGGAAGUGUCUGAGCACAGGAGGAAGUGUCUGGGAACAGGAGGAAGUGUCUGGGAACAGGAGGAAGUGUCUGGGAACAGGAGGAAGUGUCUGAGCACAGGAGGAAGUGUCUGAGCGCAGGAGGAAGUGUCUGAGCGCAGGAGGAAGUGUCUGAGCACAGGAGGAAGUGUCUGAGCACAGGAGGAAGUGUCUGAGAACAGGAGGAAGUGUCUGGGCACAGGAGGAAUAGUCUGGGCACAGGAGGAAGUGUCUGAGCACAGGAGGAAGUGUCUGAGAACAGGAGGAAGUGUCUGGGCACAGGAGGAAUAGUCUGGGCACAGGAGGAAGAGUCUGAGCACAGGAGGAAGAGUCUGAGCACAGGAGGAAGUGUCUGGGAACAGGAGGAAGUGUCUGAGCACAGGAGGAAGUGUCUGAGCACAGGAGGAAGUGUCUGGGACCAGGAGGAAGUGUCUGGGAACAGGAGGAAGUGUCUGGGAACAGGAGGAAGUGUCUGGGCACAGGAGGAAGUGUCUGGGCACAGGAGGAAGUGUCUGGGAACAGGAGGAAGUGUCUGGGAACAGGAGGAAGUGUCUGGGAACAGGAGGAAGUGUCUGGGAACAGGAGGAAGUGUCUGGGAACAGGAGGAAGUGUCUGAGCACAGGAGGAAGUGUCUGAGCGCAGGAGGAAGUGUCUGAGCACAGGAGGAAGUGUCUGAGCGCAGGAGGAAGUGUCUGAGCACAGGAGGAAGUGUCUGAGCACAGGAGGAAGUGUCUGGGACCAGGAGGAAGUGUCUGGGACCAGGAGGAAGUGUCUGGGACCAGGAGGAAGUGUCUGAGAACAGGAGGAAGUGUCUGGGCACAGGAGGAAGUGUCUGAGCACAGGAGGAAGUGUCUGGGAACAGGAGGAAGUGUCUGGGAACAGGAGGAAGUGUCUGGGCAUAGGAGGAAGUGCCUGGGAACAGGAGGAAGUGUCUGAGCACAGGAGGAAGUGUCUGGGCACAGGAGGAAGUGUCUGAGCGCAGGAGGAAGUGUCUGAGCACAGGAGGAAGUGUCUGAGAACAGGAGGAAGUGUCUGGGCACAGGAGGAAGUGUCUGGGAACAGGAGGAAGUGUCUGAGCACAGGAGGAAGUGUCUGGGCAUAGGAGGAAGAGUCUGGGAACAGGAGGAAGUGUCUGGGAACAGGAGGAAGUGUCUGGGAACAGGAGGAAGUGCCUGGGAACAGGAGGAAGUGUCUGGGAACAGGAGGAAGUGUCUGGGAACAGGAGGAAGUGUCUGGGAACAGGAGGAAGUGUCUGGGAACAGGAGGAAGUGUCUGGGAACAAGAGGAAGUGUCUGGGAACAGGAGGAAGUGUCUGGGCACAGGAGGAAGUGCCUGGGCAAAGGAGGAAGUGUCUGGGAACAAGAGGAAGUGCCUGGGAACAGGAGGAAGUGUCUGGGAACAGGAGGAAGUGUCUGGGAACAGGAGGAAGUGUCUGGGAACAGGAGGAAGUGUCUGAGCACAGGAGGAAGUGUCUGAGCACAGGAGGAAGAGUCUGGGCACAGGAGGAAGAGUCUGGGAACAGGAGGAAGUGUCUGGGAACAGGAGGAAGUGCCUGGGAACAGGAGGAAGUGCCUGGGCAAAGGAGGAAGUGUCUGGGAACAGGAGGAAGUGUCUGGGAACAGGAGGAAGUGCCUGGGCAAAGGAGGAAGUGUCUGGGAACAGGAGGAAGUGUCUGGGAACAGGAGGAAGUGUCUGGGAACAGGAGGAAGUGUCUGGGAACAGGAGGAAGUGUCUGGGAACAGGAGGAAGUGCCUGGGAACAGGAGGAAGUGUCUGGGAACAGGAGGAAGUGUCUGGGAACAGGAGGAAGUGUCUGGGAACAGGAGGAAGUGUCUGGGAACAGGAGGAAGUGCCUGGGAACAGGAGGAAGUGUCUGGGAACAGGAGGAAGUGUCUGGGCACAGGAGGAAGUGUCUGGGAACAGGAGGAAGUGUCUGAGCACAGGAGGAAGUGUCUGAGAACAGGAGGAAGUGUCUGGGAACAAGAGGAAGUGUCUGGGAACAAGAGGAAGUGUCUGGGAACAGGAGGAAGUGUCUGGGAACAGGAGGAAGUGCCUGGGAACAGGAGGAAGUGUCUGAGCACAGGAGGAAUAGUCUGAGCACAGGAGGAAGUGUCUGAGCACAGGAGGAAGUGUCUGGGCAUAGGAGGAAGUGUCUGGGAACAGGAGGAAGUGUCUGGGAACAGGAGGAAGUGUCUGGGAACAGGAGGAAGAGUCUGGGCACAGGAGGAAGUGUCUGGGAACAAGAGGAAGUGCCUGGUGUGUGUGUAAUCUUGACAACCCAGAACCAAAUCUUGUGUGCUCUCGCGGUUCAUGUUUCUUUGUAACGAGAGAAUAGGUGUGUAUUCAUUAGUGCACAGAAAACAUUUUGCAAUGAAAGCAAAGCGUUUGUUAUUGGAUAAGUUAUGGUUAUUCUCUCCCCCAUUUCAGCCUGCUUGCUCUGGUUUGAAUACCAGUGAACACACCCUGGUGUGUAAGAACAUCAACCAGGAGAGGUCAGACGGUAUGUUUAACAGUAAGGUAGGUUCCUCUAAAUGUUUGGUCAGGAGGCUAGCUGGAUCAGUUAGUGCUCUUCAGCAUUCUGUAAACAGACAGAAACACAAUGAUACUGCUGCUUCAUUCAUCAGAGGCUUUAGGCUACAUCGAAGACCAUCAGAGACUAUCAGAGGCUUUAGGCUACAUCGAAGACCAUCAGAGACUAUCAGAGACCAUCA
RNAcentral lists this long non-coding RNA (4499 nucleotides) under Salmo salar (Atlantic salmon). RNAcentral's name for it is "lncRNA (ENSSSAG00000086651.1)". The record is from RNAcentral. Lineage: Eukaryota; Metazoa; Chordata; Actinopteri; Salmoniformes; Salmonidae.